Molecule: ribosomal RNA, 512 nt
Filed under: Candida albicans
Lineage: Eukaryota; Fungi; Ascomycota; Pichiomycetes; Serinales; Debaryomycetaceae
Description: eukaryotic LSU rRNA
Rfam family: 5.8S ribosomal RNA (bases 145-298)
Source: RNAcentral
GGGAUACUGAUUUGCUUAUUGCACCACAUGUGUUUUUCUUUGAAACAAACUUGCUUUGGCGGUGGGCCCAGCCUGCCGCCAGAGGUCUAAACUUACAACCAAUUUUUUAUCAACUUGUCACACCAGAUUAUUACUAAUAGUCAAAACUUUCAACAACGGAUCUCUUGGUUCUCGCAUCGAUGAAGAACGCAGCGAAAUGCGAUACGUAAUAUGAAUUGCAGAUAUUCGUGAAUCAUCGAAUCUUUGAACGCACAUUGCGCCCUCUGGUAUUCCGGAGGGCAUGCCUGUUUGAGCGUCGUUUCUCCCUCAAACCGCUGGGUUUGGUGUUGAGCAAUACGACUUGGGUUUGCUUGAAAGACGGUAGUGGUAAGGCGGGAUCGCUUUGACAAUGGCUUAGGUCUAACCAAAAACAUUGCUUGCGGCGGUAACGUCCACCACGUAUAUCUUCAAACUUUGACCUCAAAUCAGGUAGGACUACCCGCUGAACUUAAGCAUAUCAAAAGCCGGAGGAA